This is a long non-coding RNA of Dermatophagoides pteronyssinus (European house dust mite), 341 nucleotides long. Lineage: Eukaryota; Metazoa; Arthropoda; Arachnida; Sarcoptiformes; Pyroglyphidae. The record is from RefSeq and is a predicted model, not a curated record.
AUUUAAAAACAAAACAAUUUUAAAUAUUCAAAUGAAUUUAGCUUGCAAUCGAAUACUGGACAUUCGAAAUUUAGCAUCAAACUAAAUCCAUUACAACCAUCAACCAUCAGUUUAGAUAUGACAAUCAUGAUUUUGCAAACAACAUUCUUCGAAUCAAAGCCAACGUGUUACAAUCGACAUAUUUAUGUAACCCCAACUUCUUAUAGCUGCAUCAACUUCCAAGCACCAACGCUUGAUCAAGUCAGGAUGAUGAUCAUUAGACCAGGAAUUAUUGGCAUGUUCACUGUGGAGAUGAUAAAUUUAAAUUAAGUAAAUUAUCAAUUACAAAACUUAUCAUAUAA